AGUGGAUGGGGAGCAACCUAGUUGUGCGUGUGUAAAGGUAGUGCCAAGAAAAGCGAUGAUCAUGUUGAAAAUCAAUUCCCGGUACCCGAAACCGACACAGGUGGGCAAGUAGAGAAUACUAAGGGGCGCGAGGUAACUCUCUCCAAGGAACUCGGCAAAAUGACCCCGUAACUUAGGGAGAAGGGGUGCCACCGAGAGGUGGUCGCAGUGAAGAGGCCCAGGCGACUGUUUAGCAAAAACAUAGGUCUCUGCAAACUCGAAAGAGGAGGUAUAGGGGCUGACGCCUGCCCAGUGCCGGAAGGUUAAAGAAGUUGGUCAGUUUUAGGAUGAAGCUAGCGACUGAAGCCCCGGUGAACGGCGGCCGUAACUAUAACGGUCCUAAGGUAGCGAAAUUCCUUGUCGGGUAAGUUCCGACCCGCACGAAAGGCGUAACGAUCUGGGCGCUGUCUCGGAGAGAGGCUCGGCGAAAUAGGAUUGUCUGUGAAGAUACGGACUACCUGCAUUUGGACAGAAAGACCCUAUGAAGCUUUACUAUAGCUUGGAAUUGUGUUCGGGCUUCCUGUGCGCAGGAUAGGUGGGAGGCGUAGAAGGUAUUCUUGUGGGGAUACUGGAGCCAACGGUGAGAUACCACUCUCAGGAGGCUAGAAUUCUAACUUAAUUAAGGACAGUUUCAGGUGGGUAGUUUGACUGGGGCGGUCGCCUCCAAAAAGGUAACGGAGGCGUACAAAGGUUCCCUCAGACUGGUUGGAAAUCAGUCGAAGAGUGCAAAGGCAGAAGGGAGCUUGACUGCGAGAAGUACAGUUCGAGCAGGGUGGAAACACGGUCUUAGUGAUCCGACGGUGCUGUGUGGAAGGGCCGUCGCUCAACGGAUAAAAGUUACUCUAGGAUAACAGGCUGAUCUCCCCCAAGAGUUCACAUCGACGGGGAGGUUUGGCACCUCGAUGUCGGCUCAUCGCAACCUGGGGCGGAAGUACGUCCCAAGGGUUGGGCUGUUCGCCCAUUAAAGCGGAACGUGAGCUGGGUUCAGAACGUCGUGAGACAGUUCGGUCCAUAUCCGAUGUAGGCGUGAGAAUAUUGAGAGGAGCCUUCCUUAGUACGAGAGGACCGGGAAGGACGCACCGCUGGUGUACCUGUUAUGAUGCCAAUUGUAAACGCAGGGUAGCCAAGUGCGGAGAGGAUAACCGCUGAAAGCAUCUAAGUGGGAAGCCCACCUCAAGAUGAGUAUUCUGGUGUAAGGUCACGGGAAGACGACCCGUAAAUAGGCACGAGGUGGAAGUGCAGAGAUGUAUGAAGCCGAAGUGUACUAAUAGACCGUCGGCUUGACCA
Molecule: ribosomal RNA, 1326 nt
Filed under: metagenome
Description: bacterial LSU rRNA
Rfam family: Bacterial large subunit ribosomal RNA
Source: RNAcentral